This 468-nucleotide ribosomal RNA is filed under the name uncultured bacterium. RNAcentral's name for it is "partial 16S ribosomal RNA". It matches the Rfam family "Bacterial small subunit ribosomal RNA", at positions 28 to 507 of the family's 1533-position model. The record is from RNAcentral.
GACGAACGCUGGCGGCGUGCUUAACACAUGCAAGUCGAACGGAAAGGCCCUGCUUUUGUGGGGUGCUCGUGUGGCGAACGGGUGAGUAACACGUGAGUAACCUGCCCUUGACUGUGGGAUAACUUCAGGAAACUGGGGCUAAUACCGGAGAGGAGCUCCUGCUGCAUGGUGGGGGUUGGAAAGUUUCGGCGGUUGUGGAUGGACUCGCGGCUUAUCAGCUUGUUUGUGAGGUAGUGGCUUACCAAGGCUUUGACGGGUAGCCGGCCUGAGAGGGUGACCGGCCACAUUGGGACUGAGAUACGGCCCAGACUCCUACGGGAGGCAGCAGUGGGGAAUAUUGCACAAUGGGCGGAAGCCUGAUGCAGCAACGCCGCGUGCGGGAUGACGGCCUUCGGGUUGUAAACCGCUUUCGCCUGUGACGAAGCGUGAGUGACGGUAAUGGGUAAAGAAGCACCGGCUAACUACGUG